Non-coding RNA from Danionella cerebrum, 72 nucleotides. The record is from the annotation of a GenBank genome assembly. Lineage: Eukaryota; Metazoa; Chordata; Actinopteri; Cypriniformes; Danionidae.
UUUCCUGUGGCUCAGUUGGUAGAGCAUUGCGCUAACAACACACUGUGAUUGUGGGUUCCAAUCUUAGGGAAA